This 1254-nucleotide long non-coding RNA is filed under the name Chinchilla lanigera (long-tailed chinchilla). RNAcentral describes it as "lncRNA (ENSCLAG00000023750.1)". Lineage: Eukaryota; Metazoa; Chordata; Mammalia; Rodentia; Chinchillidae. The record is from RNAcentral.
GCAGCUCCGGGCCGGGAUCGCGGAGGACCGCGCCGCGGAGCCGGGCGGAGGGGGCGGGGAACGGGAGGCGGCGCAAAGGGGAGGGGGACGCCCUGCGCAUGCGUGCCAGCGCCCAUGCAAAUCGCUGUCCAUCCAGCGAGCAAAGUGGGAUGAUCUGUCACUACACCUGCAGCACCACGCUCGGAGGACAGCUCCUGCUCGCAGCUUCCAGACCCAGGAAGCCUGAAGGGAAGGAAGGAAGUACAGGCGAAAUCAUCAGAUUGGCUUCCCGGAUUUGGGAAUCUGAAGCGGGCCCACAUCUUCCGGCCAACUUCUAUUGAACUUCCAAGCACUCGAAAGGGACCGAAAUGGAAAGCAAAGGUAUGUGGCUGUCCCCGUCGGGAGACUCCCCGGUGCAUGUGCGUGUGUGGCCCGGGCAGUCCUCGUCGGCGAGGGGACUGCAGUGCCGGGAGCCAGCAUCAUACUAGGUCGAUAGGAGGAGAUGCUAUGUCCGUUGCACCACCGGGAAGUGUGGCAGGAAGACCACUUCUUUUUUUAACUCCUGCAGCUUGGAAGACAGUGUUUAAUACUCCAUCAGUUGCGUAGUGAAGUGUGAUGAGUUUUUUUUUUUUUUUUUUUGCUUUUAUAUUUUUUAAAAUUUCAUUUUAAUUACUUUUUUGUGUUCUUCAAAGUCCUUACAACUCAUUUUAUGUUCAGGAUAAGUAUUACUGAGGACCUAAAAAAUCUUCUGGAAGUGCUGGAUUUCUGCAGCCACCACUCUUACUACAGUUCGUCUUUUUUUUUUUUUUUUUUGGUAGGUGGGGGGUGGCGAGGGGAGAGUCCCUCCCAAAAUGGAGGGGGAGGAGAAAUGUGUUGGUAAAGCAAUUUCUUUUCUGAAUAAUGGCUGGGCUCAAAUGUGUUUGAUUUGUUUUAGGACUGCUCACGGGCACGUUUGUAUCUGAUAUUCAAUAAUGUACUGUUAAAGAAAUGUUUAAAUUUUUCCAUCCCCCCACCCCAUGAACGUGGUAUUUCUGGGUGUGUAUGACCACAUCGUGCUGCAUUUUGAAUAGAUAUCAGCCAAAAAAUUAGGUCUAUUUGAAACAGCGUGCGUUAGAGCUGACCUCUAAGAAGAACAGUGCAUCGGAGUACCGCUUGGCUCUCAAACAUAAUACAUUUACUAGUUCUGGACAUGAGGAUAUUAAUAUUCUCUUCGUAAGCAUUUGGUAUAAUGCACACACACCAACUGGUACAAGAGCUGUACACACUAGAUCUCAU